GACUGAACUGAGCCCCUCAAAUAUAUUGUUUUCUUUGUAAUUAUAUCUAGUUGGGUGAAUUUCAAUCUAGUUGGGUGUUCUUUGUUCGCUUAACUGAACUUCGAUGUAAAAGAAUCAAGUGACCUCAAAGGCAUCUAGAACUCUUCUUAUACUCUAACCUACGUUUCAAUAAAAUUUGGACUCGUCUCCCCAUUUGUGAUAAUGUCCUCUAGUUUUGGUUGGAUUAUCAGGUUUUCUUGUUUUUUUUUCUGUCUUUACCAUUAUAGUAAAGAUACAUGUUGGGCAAAACAAUUCUUUGGCGACUCCACUGGGGAAGAACUUCCUUAAAAGUGGCUUACAUUGUCAAUGAAUCUAAGUUAGAUCAACCCAACAGUUUUAUAAAUCCAACAAUUAAAACAACGAGCAGGCGCAGUUCUUUAUAAAAAUGGAUGAAAGAUAACUAUUAUGCAAGAGCCACAUUCUCAAUGCAUUUGGUUGAUCUUAUAAACAACAUGCAGUGGUAACAAUAAGAGAACUUUGGAAACUUCUUGAAACAUGAUAUAUCACUGAGGAAUCUGGUAACAAGCGAUUUCUUAUUUCAAAUUAUUUGAACUUUAAAUUUAUUGAAAACUUGCCAAUUAUUACUCUCAAGUGUAUGAGUCGCAAGUUAUAAUCAGGGGACUCAAAGAUUGUGAAAUUUAAUUUGAUUAUCUUGACAAUUGGAUAUGUUUAUGUGGAAUAAGUGCAGAAAAAUAUACAAAAUCCUUCUUGUUUUUUGGCAUAUGCAAUAACACUUUCUCUAGACAAUAUUUGCCCUUUUGAUAUAUAAUAAACAAUGUGCAUAAAAAUAGAUGAAAUUGACCUCGAGAUAUAAGAAAAUAGAAGGUCUCAAUUCACUUAUUAGUUUCAUGCAACCAGAAGCUUACUUCGUAUAUUAGAAUUGCGUUAUAAUAGAGAGAGAAAGAGUAUUAGAAUUUUGAAAGAGAGAGGGAGAGAGGAGAUAUAUUAGUAAGGGGGAGAGAGAGAGGACUAAAAGGAGCAUAUAAAAUGGGAAAUUCAAACAUAUUUACCACCCUUUGGAUGUGACUAUUCAUUUGAACAAUAGUAUCUAUUCACUAUUGCAUAUGACUGUUAGAAACCCACCAUCCAAAGGCUAGAUCAGCCCAACAGUUUUAAUUGCUAGAACCCAUGGCCAACAGUUAGUUGAUCACAAGGGCCUCUGUACCAAUACGAGGAAGUGAAAUACAAAGUCCACCUCAAUUGCCAUUGGGCCAACGCAUGGGUACAAGUUGCAUGCUUCGUGUACUCAACACAUGCACUCACACUCUCUCAUUUGUUCCGUAAACUUAUGGUAUGAGAGUGUUACCAUAUAAAAAUCAUUCUAUCCACAUUCUUCUUCAUGAAUGUGAGACUAAAACUUAAAACCAUCUCUAUCUAUUUAUUAGAAACAUAGGAAAGUUUCAAAAUUAUAUUUUUAAAUACUCUGUAGUAUUUUCCAGAUGGUGCAGUUUUUAUAAGGUUGCAAUCUUAAACAAUCCAAUUAAAACGCACCUUAAAAAUUUAUCAUAACAUGUAAUUUUGUUGUAAAAAAUUCUUAGUAUUAUCUUAAAAUCUAUUUUCAUACCUAAUUAGAAAAUUUUAAAUCUAAAAAAUUGUUAAAAUAAAGUAGAUCUAUAAAUAUAUGAAAAUCUUGAAAAUGGACGGUCCAGAUAAUUGUUGCAAGAUGCACUAUUUCAGGGAUUCAAAAACUUUUUUUUUUUCGCAUUCAUACAGCUCGAUAUCGAAAUAAUCGACUAGAGUAUUUUUUCAACAUUAAAACAAUAUUUUCGAUAUAUUUUUGAGGUGCAUCUGUGAUUCUACAUUUUAAAGUUGCAACCUUAUAUAAACUUUUGCCUUUUCCAAAACCAAAAUACUAAUACUUUCAUUGCCUUAAACCUAGUAAAACCCUGGGGGAAGGUAUAGAAAGCUUCCCUUACAAACCCUAAAUAAUUCCUUUUGUCAUCAAUAUCUUCACUCUCUCACCAUGAGAAACUGAAGAAAUCCAAAACAUCUUGUCUAGUUAAAGGCAUGUCCUUUUAACCUCUUUUUUUUUUG
RNAcentral lists this long non-coding RNA (2073 nucleotides) under Amborella trichopoda. Its description in RNAcentral is "long non-coding RNA (ATRI_LNC000383)". Lineage: Eukaryota; Viridiplantae; Streptophyta; Magnoliopsida; Amborellales; Amborellaceae. The record is from RNAcentral.